GAUGAACGCUGGCGGCGUGCCUAAUACAUGCAAGUCGAGCGAACAGAUAAGGAGCUUGCUCCUUUGACGUUAGCGGCGGACGGGUGAGUAACACGUGGGUAACCUACCUAUAAGACUGGGAUAACUUCGGGAAACCGGAGCUAAUACCGGAUAACAUUUGGAACCGCAUGGUUCUAAAGUGAAAGAUGGUUUUGCUAUCACUUAUAGAUGGACCCGCGCCGUAUUAGCUAGUUGGUAAGGUAACGGCUUACCAAGGCGACGAUACGUAGCCGACCUGAGAGAGUGAUCGGCCACACUGGAACUGAGACACGGUCCAGACUCCUACGGGAGGCAGCAGUAGGGAAUCUUCCGCAAAGGGCGAAAGCCUGACGGAGCAACGCCGCGUGAGUGAUGAAGGGUUUCGGCUCGUAAAACUCUGUUAUUAGGGAAGAACAAACGUGUAAGUAACUGUGCACGUCUUGACGGUACCUAAUCAGAAAGCCACGGCUAACUACGUG
RNAcentral lists this ribosomal RNA (497 nucleotides) under uncultured bacterium. RNAcentral's name for it is "partial 16S ribosomal RNA". It matches the Rfam family "Bacterial small subunit ribosomal RNA", at positions 28 to 507 of the family's 1533-position model. The record is from RNAcentral.